RNAcentral lists this ribosomal RNA (355 nucleotides) under uncultured bacterium. RNAcentral's name for it is "bacterial SSU rRNA". It matches the Rfam family "Bacterial small subunit ribosomal RNA", at positions 527 to 881 of the family's 1533-position model. The record is from RNAcentral.
GUAGGGGGCAAGCGUUAUCCGGAUUUACUGGGUGUAAAGGGAGCGUAGACGGCUUUGCAAGUCUGAUGUGAAAGGCGGGGGCUCAACCCCUGGACUGCAUUGGAAACUGUGGGGCUUGAGUGCCGGAGAGGUAAGCGGAAUUCCUAGUGUAGCGGUGAAAUGCGUAGAUAUUAGGAGGAACACCAGUGGCGAAGGCGGCUUACUGGACAGUAACUGACGUUGAGGCUCGAAAGCGUGGGGAGCAAACAGGAUUAGAUACCCUGGUAGUCCACGCCGUAAACGAAGAAUACUAGGUGUUGGGGGACAAAGUCCUUCGGUGCCGUCGCAAACGCAAUAAGUAUUCCACCUGGGGAGU